CAUAGUUUCGAAUCAACAAAUGGCCGACGAUGGCAACAACACAUCACAGUUUGGCAGUUUUGACAAAUGCAUGUGUUAAACCCCCGAUUGAUCCUAAAACAGGAUUAUCUACAUCUUUAAAUGAGAGAACUCUUUCGUCUCUCAUGCACUAUGGGGAUGAAUAUGGAGAAGAAAAGGAUGAAAUGUUCGAUGAUGAGGGACGGACCCGUUUUGAGAAUUUGUCCGGUCUUGUCCUAUCGGAUCCCGCCAACAAAGCUAUUCCGACGGAAUUGAACAAUUUAACAGAUGACGAAUUUUAUGAAAAGCUUAUACAGUUAAAAAGGGAACAUAAGAAAACUCUUGCAAUAUGUGAAAAAUUGUAUAAACGAAAGGUAGGCGUUGAGCAGAGCAACACCCAAAAUGGUUUUGUUUCUGAAGCAAACUUUGGCACAGUGCCAAGUGAUUUUGCAAAUCAAGAGAUCCAUUCAACAUUACAUAAUUCACCAUUAAAUGGUUUUCGAAAUCAUGAUCAGAGUAAUCGAAGUUCUUUUGGAGAAUCUUCACACAAGCCACCUACAGGUCGACCACCCCCAUCUCCAGGAGCAAGAACUAUGCCUUCCGCCGGAUUGAGGACUAUGCCAGUUGACAGAACGUUCGCCACAAAAACAAGGCCAAGUUCAGCACCAACAAGAGGUGGGUCACUAAGCCUUGCACGUAGCUUAGAAGAGGAAGUUUGGCUGAAAAUCGCAGCAGAAAGAAAAGCAGGAAGAGAAGCAGAAGAUAAUGAGCCUGUUGAAAGGUAUGAACAAACCCAAUCAGAAACAUAUGAAAGUCCAGAAUUAACAACUGCUAUGGCAGACAUUGAUGACAUGUGGGAUAAUUUUUCAAUAGAAGAAUACGCACCAAGACCUGAAAGACCAUCUUCAGCUACUAUCACCCGCAAGGAAAAAGCAGAAAAACAGUGGAGGCAUAGAAUCACCAUUCCAAAGCCUUUUAAAAUGACUAUUCGUGAAAUGAACAAAGAAAAGAAGAUAACCGAGGUACAAAAAGAAUUUGAAGAAAAGUUACAGCAGAAGUACAAAGAAGAAGAGAUGGAAUGUCAAAAGAAAUUCAAAGCUGCACCAGUGCCAGCACAUGUAUAUUUACCAAUGUAUGAUGAAAUUGCAGAAAAGAAUGAAGCCCGUAGGCGAUACAUACGAGAUUACAGCAAGGAAUUACUCAAAUCACAAGAAAAACCAUUCAACUUUACAAAAAGGGAAGCAGACAAAAAGAAACACAGGCGAGUGAAAUCGGCACCAAUAUCAGAUGAUGGUGUGAGGAAAUCCAGUACAUUCAAAGCUCAGCCUGUGCCAGUAUCUGUCCUUGAUGACAGUGUAAAUGAUAAAAUCAUGGAAGAAGAAGAGUACAGAAAAAUAAGAAUAAAAAUGCGAUCAGAAGAACUCUUAAACGCUGCAUCAUUGCCUCCAAAUAUGGAAGCAAGAAAACAAUAUGACCAAAAUAAAAAACGUGACAAACAAGUUAAGAACAAAAGAAAAGCUCGGUUCCAGCCAAAAGUGAAUCAUGAUGUGCCAGACUAUGAUGAACUUUAUAGACAUUUUCAAAAGGAAUUAGCACGACGCAAACGUGAGAGAGAGUCAACAGUAGUGAGGCCUUUCCAACUCAACACAAUGCACCUACAGUCAACCAGGGACAGGAUUGUCAAAGACAUAGAGAGGGAUGAGGAAAACAUGAAGGAGAACAGAUGGCCAUACAAGAACCCACGUGUCACACCAAGAAGUUUAGGUACUCUGUCCACUUCACUUGACUCCAUCCCAGCAAAGACCACUGCAUCAGCUGACCUUAGGAAUAGGCAUACAAGGAAGAAGCUUCAGGAUAUGACCAAGCAAGAACGUGAACAUCUAGAGACAGAUAGAAAGAAAAGGAUACAGGAAAUGAGACUGAGGUCACAGAUCAUAUCCAAAACGAGAGAUGGGGAAAAUGGACGCACUCUGGAGGAUACGUACAGGCAAAAACUCCGGACAUUCAGAAAUGAUGACCGUGAUAGAAAAGAUGAAUACCAGAAAAGUUUGCAGGAAAUGCAAGAGCGUGUGAACAAGCGACCUUUGUUGUUUCAACAAGAGAGUCAGGUGAAUGCUAAGGCAACUGCAGAGAAGAAGUUUGCCACAACUUUAAAAAAUCAUGGAAUCGAUGAGGACUUUGUACAGAGUCGCAGCUCUCGAGCAGCCAGUGUUGUAAACGAUGAUGGUGAGGAAAAUUACGAGGAUGACUUUGAUGCAACAUAUGCCAAAUCACCCGACGAUGAAAUGUAUGAUGAUGAUUAUGAAGAUGAAGCAUGAGGAUUUUCUAUGACUGUUUUUAAAUAGCUUUAAGAGACAAAAACUACAACACGGGAAACAAUUAACUUCUGUAAAUGUAAAGAUUGCCACAAAGGUGUUAAGAUCAUGUACUCACAGAAACUGAUAUAUAAAUGUUUCAAGGUAAUACCUGGUGCCGCACAACAAGGAGCUGCUGCUGACAGUUGAUACUUAUAUCGUCAGCAAUCUUAAUGCAUAUCUGAAAACAAGCAUUUCCAGAUGUUUAGGGAUAGUUUAGAACAAAUAUAUAACAAUUCUAUAUUUACCCAAAGAUUUUUAACAAGAUAUUUUUAUCAUAGCAAGUGGUUCUUGUACUACAAGAGGUAGUCAUGAAGCCACACUUGAUUAUCAUGUUAGCACGCGUAAUGGCUAGUCACCUGUAGUACCAUAGGCAUUCUUCUGUUACAUUAGAUGCUCAUUUUAUUCAGUGUAUUUGUCUUUUGUAUUAUGUUUUACGAGAACAAUGCUUAUAUUUAUUUUAAGGACACAACAUGAUCAGAUUUGAAUCUUUAUAGAAUCUCAAUCAAACACACUAAUGACCUAAUGAUACAGUAUUCAACCUGGCAGUCAUUCUUUAUUGUGACAUACUAUAUGUACCACUUUUAUUGAUACCACUGCAGGUCUCUUUACUAUGACAUAAUAGUUAGUAGGUAUACAUAUAUAUUAUAUACCAUCUAUACUUCUCAAGUAAGAAUACCUUCAUCAUUGUAACAACUCAUCACUAGACUAUUAAGAUGUUCUACAUUGUUUUCCAAUUGUGUAGAGCCGUUUAGGUGGUUUGGUCUGGGUUGAUACGUAUAGUACAGAGGAGAAACACCAGGUUGAAUACUGUACAGGUAAGCUUGCAUUCACUGUUCAGUACAGCGCUGUAGCUGCUUCAGUGUAUUAUCAGUAGCUACAGGUAUUAUAAGUCAUUUUAUUUUGUAAGUCUGUAUAUAUUUCUUUAAUCUACAUUGGUUGUUUGUUAUUCAUAUAAAUUCAACUUGACCUAGUCUUAUGUAUUAACCUGUAACACUUUCUGUAGAUGAUUCCCCGUUUUCCAAAUCUCCUGCAGGGUAAUCCAUGCCGUAUGUGGACCUUCUCUUCUCUGUAUCAUAUCCUGUCACUGGUCAUACCAAAGCUCACGCAGGGAGGGAAGGUUAUUGGUUAAAAGUACAACGAAAGAUUUGAAAGAUAAAUUGAUAUUUAUUUGUAGGGUAUAAAAAUGGGAGAAUCUUGGAGUGAACUAACAAUGUAGAUUUUUAAAGUAUUAGCUAGUGAUGGAGAUAUAAAAAACAAGACUGUACCGGGUAAUUUAUGUAAAUGUGUUCUGUUCUACAGUUUUAUUAUAAUUCCAUGCUAUUUUGGGCUAUUUAUCUGUAGUCUUUCAAAUGCUAUUUCAAUCAGUUCUCUGAGUUUUUAUAAAAUUGUUCUGUUUCACAAUUCGGGUACUUUAAUUUCUUCUGCAUUCCAUAUGAAUUAUACUAUAUGUAUAGUCAAUAAGAAUCCAUUAAGGAUGCAUGUACCACCAAGUUACAAUAUCUCUCUAUGUUCAUGCAAAACAUGUCUAUCUUAAGUAGAGGUUGGAAAUUGUCAAAUUAAUGACAGAACGAAGCUGUUACACUUAUGACAUAUUUUUAUUUUUUAAGUUAUCCUAACGCUAUGACUAUAUGUUUGAUGUCAAUGCAUAUAUCUGUUCAUUGUUCAUAAGUGUUCACUGUAUUUUUGGUGUAUAGAAUUAAUUAUAAAUAAAUUUAAUGAAUUGAUGAUAAAAACAUACAGUAAUAUAAAAUGAUGAGUAGACAAUAGAACAUCUCUGACAUAAAAACCUGGAAAUAUUGAGAUUUUGUAGAUACCAGUCUGUGCAGUGGGACACCCAUCCUUAAACUAGAAAAUGACACAUCAGCUUUUCAUAUUUCUUAUAAUUAUGUGCUUACCAAAUGUUUUUUUUUUUUUUAAAUCCGUCCAUAUAAUAAUGAUAUUAAUGUUAUAGUUGUCAUCAUGGAUGCAACAGGUUAGCUUUUAUAAAAAAAGAAAGAGAAACCUUUAUGCUUGUCAUGUUUGUUCUUCAUUCUUAUUUUGACCUCAUUCAUGUUAAUAUCAUGGUACAAAAAUGUGUACCAGUAUAAUAAUAUACAUACUUGGUAGUUAUAGAAUACAAUAUUUGGACAUUUAUAAAAUAGGUCGCAGUUCACAGAAGAGUACACCUGCUUGUAUCUAGGUAAUUUUGUAUACAUUCUAGGCCUUCAGAUCCAGUAACUUAUACAUGGAUGUUAAUCCAUUUUGGUGCAGUAGUCUGGAAGUCUUCACACACAACUCUGUAACUGAAAUAACCACUGGACAGAACUGCAAAAAAUGUGCCCUCAUUUUUGCAAUCCUUUUUUUUUAUCUUUUAAAAUUUUCACCAGCCAUUGAUUGGCAAUAAAGAAACUAUCAUUCUCUUGAGAGCCAGCAAUAUCCCCAUUACCAUCUCUUACCCUGAUGUAUUGGGAACUUUUUUGUACUUCACCUUUACAGAAUUGCCUUCCUCAUCAGCUUAUAUUCAUGUGUGCUUGCAGAAAAUGAAUUGCAUCUUUGUUUUGAUUUUCUUAUUUAGAAAAUAUAAACACACGAAUAGGCAAGUGUUUCCCUGCAAGUGUUUCACAGAAAAAUAAAGGAAAAAAGAUUUUUUUCCAUUUAAUGUCUAUGGCCACCGGAGAUACUAAUUAGGAUCUAUAUUAUGAGGUUGAUUUUUAAGAGAACUUGCUUGGUUGUUUGUGUUAGAGUUGUAAAUUAGCUGCCUUAUUUAAUUGAUUUUAGCAAACAUUACCAGCAGUGUUAUUGAGGCAUGUAUUUCCAUGUAUAUUUUGUGUAUGUUUCAUCAGAAUCAAAUAAUUAUAAAUUAAUUUUACCAUUAUUAACAAUACUUUACAUGUUUUUUAGUGUGACACUCUUUUGUAGCAUACAUCCUUAAUUAAAUAUGGAACAUGACAAGAAAAAUAAGUUAGGAUCUAUGGAAAUCCAGCCACACAAUGUUUGUCUGAAAUGUUUGUGAUGUGAUCUUGGUUUUCCUAUUGUUGAAUUAUCUCCCCUACAAAAACUGGUACAAAUCGAAAUCUGUAAAUAGGAUGUCCUGUAUUUCUAUGUGAAUGUAAUCAUUGACUUAUGACUUUUGAUCGAUAUUUAAAAGUUUUGUACAGGAAGUAGCACAGUACAAUAAAUUGAAACUUUGUAGAUUAA
This 5531-nucleotide unclassified non-coding RNA is filed under the name Mizuhopecten yessoensis (Yesso scallop). RNAcentral describes it as "protein FAM161A-like, transcript variant X1". The record is from RNAcentral. Lineage: Eukaryota; Metazoa; Mollusca; Bivalvia; Pectinida; Pectinidae.